UACGUAGGGGCAAGCGUUGUCCGGAAUUAUUGGGCGUAAAGCGCGCGCAGGCGGUCCUUUAAGUCUGAUGUGAAAGCCCACGGCUUAACCGUGGAGGGUCAUUGGAAACUGAGGGACUUGAGUACAGAAGAGGAGAGUGGAAUUCCACGUGUAGCGGUGAAAUGCGUAGAGAUGUGGAGGAACACCAGUGGCGAAGGCGAUUCUCUGGACUGUAACUGACGCUGAGGCUCGAAAGCGUUGGGAGCAAACAGGAUUAGAUACCCCGGUAGU
RNAcentral lists this ribosomal RNA (270 nucleotides) under uncultured prokaryote. Its description in RNAcentral is "partial 16S ribosomal RNA". It matches the Rfam family "Bacterial small subunit ribosomal RNA", at positions 524 to 794 of the family's 1533-position model. The record is from RNAcentral.